Heterocephalus glaber (naked mole-rat) is the source of this 4151-nucleotide long non-coding RNA. RefSeq lists it as uncharacterized. NCBI's taxonomy places the organism in Eukaryota, Metazoa, Chordata, Mammalia, Rodentia, Bathyergidae. The record is from RefSeq and is a predicted model, not a curated record.
GGAAUGAAGUGAGCAGUUUGCUUGAAUAUGUAUUCCCACCAUGAUGCGCUGCCAUAGGCCCAAAGUAACAGGGCUGAUUGACCACGGACUGGAAACUCCAAAUCUUCGGAAAGGACAUAGCUCAGCUGGGCAUCCUGCAGAGUAUCACACUGGUCCAGUUAACUGAUGACACCGUUAGUGGAACCAAAUGCACAAGAGGUGGCCAGCAGGUUGGAAGUCUUGAAAGCUGGUUGUUAAGUUCUUACUAUUGUAUCACUGCCAGUGCAUAUCUAUGAUUGCAUGAGAAGGGGAUCAUACAUGAUUCAUGUAGGAUGGAAAAGCCUGAGUUUGAUUCACAAACGGCUGAACUUUGUACCCCAGGACAGGCCAGAAAUGUACGAUGGCUACACAGUUUCCCUACUCAGGAAAUCUUGAAAUACAGAGGACCAGCUUUCCCAGUGCUGAGGUCAUUGUCCAUUGAGGUCACUUUGAAAAGGCUGAGCAAGUCCUGUUAACAGCGCUUAUCUCCUCUUCUUCAGAAUCAGAAACAAGGCAUCCCAGCCUAUGCGUCAUCUGACAUGGAGAAGGACUGCAGGUUAGGUCCUGCUCAUCCACCUGGCAGAGGGAGGAUUCCAGGGGCACAAGACUCAUGAAGAUGAGACUCAAAACUGGCACACUGUCAUUUCUGCUACACUUGCAUUUGACCAAAGCAAAUUUACAAGGGUAACCCAGAUUCAAGGACUGCAGGAAAUAGAUUUUGCUUCUUCAUGAGAGGAGCUGCAAAAUUAUACUGUUAAGGGCAUGGAUGCCGGAAGGCUGAAAAGUUUCAGUCAUUUUUGCAGUUUACUGCAGGUAUAUUCUUGUCCCCAUUUAUUAUUGCUGCUUUACAGAUGAGGAAACUGAGUUCAAGAGAGAUCCCUAAACUCAAACAAAGAAAUAACAAUAUAGACAAAGGCUCUGGAAUUAUUGGCAAAAGAGGAGCUUGUGCUUGUAUAAAAGACUUGAAAAUUUCUUAGCACAGAGAUGAGCUUGGAGUGAGGCUCUGUAGCAGAUAUUGUGCCUCUUUGACCCAUUUUCUACCAGGGCCUCUGAGUGCACCCCCAGCUGUAGUAGACAAUUCCUGCUGUCAAGGACCUCUCUGCUCCUCUGCUCAAGGUUUCCUCCAGUUCCUUGAAGUUUUGCUCGGUCUCCUUUGAAGCAACCUACAAAUGUCACACUAAAUGCCCCCAGGGGCAGCCCUCGAGGAAGGUUGGUAGGUGCUGGCACAUCAAUGUCCCAGCUGCCCCAUUCCAUGCUGGGAGAAUUCUGUGGCACAUUUUCCAAAGCUCCUCAGAGGAUCCCCAUGAGAAUUAAUUCCCAGAUCACUCUUGGUAAUAAUCUGCUCAUUAACAUCACACCUUAUCAUUGCCCUCUUUCAGUUAAGCCACUGACACUCCAGCCCUUGUCUCAAGGUCUGCUUUUGUAGCAAAUCAAAGGAAGACACCUGGAAGGACGGACAAGAUAUUGAUAGAGAAGGAGGCUGAUGAAGCAUUCCCCGUAGAGGACAUUAUAGACAUUGUUUCUUUUUUCUUUUCUUUUUUUUUUUUGGUACUGGGGAUCGAACUCGGGACCUUGCACUUGCGAGGCAGGUGCCAGAACCACUGAGCUAAAUUCCUGGCCCUGGACAUUGUUUCUAAAUUUUAUUUGUGCAAAAAUACUGCAUUUGUGUAGUAAUGUUUUAUAUUAGUUUCACCUUAUUUAUUUCAAGAUCAAUUGCUGGUAGAAUUAGUAGCUUUCAUCCCUGUGACCAAAUAGCGGAGGAAAACAACUUAGAGGAAGGAAGACUGAUUUGGGCUCCCAAAUUCAGAGGGUUCAGUUGUUGGUCAGAUGGUUUCCUUGCUUCUAGGCCUGUGGAUCUGUGGUGAGGCAGAACCAUCGUGGUGGGAGGACGUGGAGGCAGAAAGCUGCUCCCCUCCUGCCAGCCAAAGCAGAGGGGAAGAGAGCCAGAAAAGAGGGGCUGGGGACCAGGUCUAGUCCCUAAGCUCACACCCCUAUGACUCCCUCCAAUUAGGCUCCAUCUCCUGUUUCCAUUACCUCCCAAUCAGGCCAUCAGAUUAUGAUUCAUCAAUGGAUUUAUCUAUCGAAGUCAGAAUCCUCGUGAUCUAAUCACUUUCCCAAAGCCCCACUUCUGAACAUAGAAGACACUGGGGAGACAUUUUAGAUCCAAACCGUAACAGAAGGUUACAGGAUUUAAACAUUUCCUAGGCUUUUGGUCACCGCAAACUUAACUUUUCCAUUUAGGAUUUGCUCAGUACCAAUAUUUGUCUUAGAACCUGAAGAAAUGUUUAAUUACUGAAAUUUGAAAUAUUAAUCCAUUUUGUGUUGCUAUAUCAAAAUACUCCAAUGCCAGUUCUUUAUGUAAAAAGGUAACACAAAAGUUUGGAGACAGAAAGUUCACGACUGGGUAGUCCCAUUGAUUUGGACUCUAGUGAGGGCCUCCAUGGCUGAGUCACGACAUGGUGGAUGUAAUCAUAGCAGAAGGGAGAGGUCACAUGGCAAGACAAGAAGUCACAGAGCAGAAGAGGGCCAGCAGUCUUGCUCUUUUUAUAGCAGCCCAUGCUCCAAGGAACUAAUUGGGGCUUCAUGAGAACUACAUUAAUCCUGUCCAAGGGCAGAACCCCAAUGACCUUCCAUGAAACCCCACCUCUUAACAAUCCCACUACCUCUCAUAUAAGCACAACGGGAGCCAAACCUCCAACACAUGAACCCAUGGAAGACAAACCACAUCCAAACCAUGUCCAUGUUUACUCUGAGCUCAGCAUACAUGUAUGCCUCAAUUCAAAGUUAAACAGGGAAACAUUCUUAUUCUGAAAGUUCAUUGGCCUUUCUUGUACCAUGUACUUCUUACUGACCUAUCUUCCAUAGAAAACCGUUAUCUAUCCUCAUACUCUCCUCUCUGUCUUUUUCUCAUCUCUUCUCACCUUUUCUGUUUUAGUUGACAGUCUCCAACUCAAUCUCUGAUAUUUCCAUGCCAUUUCUGAGCCAUCUACCCUUCCCUCCAUUACCCCCAACCUGAGGGCUAAUCUCCCCCAGCCAGAAUGGCCAGUCAGAAUUUUCCUCAAAUGAAAGACAGGUGUCUUCCUUCGGAAGCUGACAAGCCACCCUACUAAUGGGUUUGUGGAGAUGGGAUGGGAGUGAGGGAGAGGAGUAGAAAUGUUACUGGAGAGUUCAGAGAAUUGGUGGUUUUUGUAGAGGGGAUAGAAUAAACAUAGUGAAACCUGAGAACAACUUGAACAAUUUUUUCUGCUUCCCACAAUAUCACCUCACAACCUCCAAAUCUGUGCUUUGUUCUGGUGAACCCUGAAAGCUUUUUGGUCUUCAAUAAUUCUCUAUUAAAAUGCAAAUACCUACUGGAAGUUGUUAAGCCUUAUCAGCUAAUAGUUGGCUGUAGAAUAAACAUAAGAUCUUAUGUUAAUAGGGCCCAGAAUGGCAGAGCGACAGGGCCUUUCAGUGGAAGGAAAAAUAGACCCAGGAAGAAGGAGAGAGGAUAUUUAUGGAAGGGGUCAUUUUUCAGUCUUUCUUCUAUUUUGACUAGAGUGAACUUUGCUCACCAUUAUGACAGCUUCUCCUUUGGCAUCUCAACAGCACUAGUUUUUAAAUGGUAGGUUUGUUGCUCUUUGACCCAUGCAUCCAUUGAAUUAAGGAGGAUUCCUGGAGCAUCUCUGCACUGUCUAAAUUAGGAAGAGUGAAAGUAACCCAGGGAAAUAGCUAUAGAAUCCCCCUCCCUGGUCUAAUUCAGUUGCAUUUAAUUGCAUCAGCUCCAUGGUACCUGGAUGGCCCUGGCAGCUCAGUAGGUCACCGCAAAGCCAAUACAUUGCCAGAGCAAUGGGUGUGCUUCCUCCAUGAUAGGAAGUAAGCUGCCAUCCUACCAGUUGGCUUGCCCAUGUGUGCCCAUCACGGGGACCAAAAGAGAGCAUUCGUGCACAUUGCCAUUCUAUCCUGACGACCUGGAAAACCACAGACAUGCAGCCUGACCUCCGCAGGAAAUGACCGUGUCCAUCAGCUGAGUUCCAGCCUCCCUGCUGGAGCACCUUCUCCAUCAUCUGUAGUUCAGGGCACAUAUGUCUUCUCUCCCCUGCUGGACUGUGACCACCUCCGGCAGGAGCCAAGGCUACUUCAUCACUGAGUACAAG